AAUAAGUGCAGUUUUACACUGUUCAUCUUCAACGUUUGACCGUUCGUCUUAUUUAAAAAAUUUUUAUGAUUACUAUUUUUAUUGUUAUUAGAUGGUAAAACAUGAAUAGUAUUUUAUAUGUAACUAAUUUUAAUAAAAUUUUUUAUAAUAUUUUUAAAUAAGACGGACGGUCAAAUGUUGGAUACGGAUUUCCACGACUGCAUUUAUU
Molecule: microRNA precursor, 208 nt
Organism: Oryza sativa Indica Group (long-grained rice)
Lineage: Eukaryota; Viridiplantae; Streptophyta; Magnoliopsida; Poales; Poaceae
Rfam family: MIR812 microRNA precursor family
Source: Rfam